AUUGAACGCUGGCGGCAGGCCUAACACAUGCAAGUCGAGCGGAUGAGAAGAGCUUGCUCUUCGAUUCAGCGGCGGACGGGUGAGUAAUACCUAGGAAUCUGCCUGGUAGUGGGGGACAACGUUUCGAAAGGAACGCUAAUACCGCAUACGUCCUACGGGAGAAAGCAGGGGACCUUCGGGCCUUGCGCUAUCAGAUGAGCCUAGGUCGGAUUAGCUAGUUGGUGAGGUAAUGGCUCACCAAGGCUACGAUCCGUAACUGGUCUGAGAGGAUGAUCAGUCACACUGGAACUGAGACACGGUCCAGACUCCUACGGGAGGCAGCAGUGGGGAAUAUUGGACAAUGGGCGAAAGCCUGACGCAGCCAUGCCGCGUGAAUGAUGAAGGUCUUAGGAUUGUAAAAUUCUUUCACCGGGGACGAUAAUGACGGUACCCGGAGAAGAAGCCCCGGCUAACUUCGUGCCAGCAGCCGCGGUAAUACGAAGGGGGCUAGCGUUGCUCGGAAUUACUGGGCGUAAAGGGCGCGUAGGCGGACAUUUAAGUCAGGGGUGAAAUCCCAGAGCUCAACUCUGGAACUGCCUUUGAUACUGGGUGUCUUGAGUGUGAGAGAGGUAUGUGGAACUCCGAGUGUAGAGGUGAAAUUCGUAGAUAUUCGGAAGAACACCAGUGGCGAAGGCGACAUACUGGCUCAUUACUGACGCUGAGGCGCGAAAGCGUGGGGAGCAAACAGGAUUAGAUACCCUGGUAGUCCACGCCGUAAACGAUGAUUGCUAGUUGUCGGGCUGCAUGCAGUUCGGUGACGCAGCUAACGCAUUAAGCAAUCCGCCUGGGGAGUACGGUCGCAAGAUUA
RNAcentral lists this ribosomal RNA (847 nucleotides) under uncultured Brevundimonas sp. RNAcentral's name for it is "bacterial SSU rRNA". It matches the Rfam family "Bacterial small subunit ribosomal RNA", at positions 28 to 896 of the family's 1533-position model. The record is from RNAcentral. Lineage: Bacteria; Pseudomonadati; Pseudomonadota; Alphaproteobacteria; Caulobacterales; Caulobacteraceae.